GGGAAUGUGGCUUAGUGGUAGAGUGCUUGUCUAGCAUACAUGAAGCCCUGGGUUCAAUUCCUCAGUACCU
This 70-nucleotide transfer RNA is filed under the name Dipodomys ordii (Ord's kangaroo rat). It matches the Rfam family "tRNA". From Rfam's summary of the family: Transfer RNA (tRNA) molecules are approximately 80 nucleotides in length. Lineage: Eukaryota; Metazoa; Chordata; Mammalia; Rodentia; Heteromyidae. The record is from Rfam by way of RNAcentral.